UACAGAGGUCUCAAGCGUUGUUCGGAUUCAUUGGGCGUAAAGGGUGCGCAGGCGGCCCUGCGCGUCGCGAGUGAAAUCUCCCGGCUCAACUGGGAGGGUGGUCGCGAGACGGCAGGGCUUGAGGCUCGGUGAGGGGCGUGGAAUUCCGGGUGGAGCGGUGAAAUGCGUAGAGAUCCGGAGGAACACCAACGGCGUAGGCAGCGCCCUAGACGAGACCUGACGCUCAGGCACGAAAGCGCGGGGAGCGAACAGG
Molecule: ribosomal RNA, 253 nt
Filed under: uncultured bacterium
Lineage: Bacteria
Description: partial 16S ribosomal RNA
Rfam family: Bacterial small subunit ribosomal RNA
Source: RNAcentral